UUCAGUGAUGAAAACUUUUGCAUAGGAAGUGCCGUCUGAUGCGAUAACUGACGAUCACAAGCUCUAUUCUGAGA
RNAcentral lists this small nucleolar RNA (74 nucleotides) under Nothobranchius furzeri (turquoise killifish). Its description in RNAcentral is "Small nucleolar RNA SNORD49 (ENSNFUG00015014299.1)". It matches the Rfam family "Small nucleolar RNA SNORD49". Rfam says of the family: U49 belongs to the C/D class of snoRNA which contain the C (UGAUGA) and D (CUGA) box motifs. Most of the members of the box C/D family function in directing site-specific 2'-O-methylation of substrate RNAs. Lineage: Eukaryota; Metazoa; Chordata; Actinopteri; Cyprinodontiformes; Nothobranchiidae. The record is from Rfam by way of RNAcentral.